RNAcentral lists this transfer RNA (69 nucleotides) under Ictidomys tridecemlineatus (thirteen-lined ground squirrel). Its description in RNAcentral is "Spermophilus tridecemlineatus (thirteen-lined ground squirrel) tRNA". It matches the Rfam family "tRNA". Rfam says of the family: Transfer RNA (tRNA) molecules are approximately 80 nucleotides in length. Their secondary structure includes four short double-helical elements and three loops (D, anti-codon, and T loops). The record is from Rfam by way of RNAcentral. Lineage: Eukaryota; Metazoa; Chordata; Mammalia; Rodentia; Sciuridae.
GGGGCUGUGGCUUAGUGGUAGAGCACUUGCCUAGCAUGUAUGAGGCACUAGGUUCCAUCCUCAGCAUCA